UGAGGAAUAUUGGUCAAUGGGGGAAACCCUGAACCAGCGACGCCGCGUGAGGGAUGAAUGGGCUUUGCCCUGUAAACCUCUGUCGGAUGGGAAGAAAAGUCCCCUUAGGGGACUGGGACUGUACCAUUAAAGGAAGGGUCGGCUAACUACGUGCCAGCAGCCGCGGUAAUACGUAGGACCCAAGCGUUGUCCGGAAUUACUGGGUGUAAAGGGUGCGCAGGCGGGCUUGUGCGUCAGAGGUUAAAUCCCACCGCUUAACGGUGGAGAUGCCUUUGAUACGGCAAGUCUUGAAUGCGAGCGAGGUAGGUAGAAUUCCUGGUGUAGCGGUGAAAUGCGUAGAUAUCAGGAGGAAUACCAGUGGCGAAGGCGGCCUACUGGCUCGUUAUUGACGCUCAGGCACGAAAGCGUGGGGAGCAAACA
RNAcentral lists this ribosomal RNA (420 nucleotides) under uncultured prokaryote. RNAcentral describes it as "bacterial SSU rRNA". It matches the Rfam family "Bacterial small subunit ribosomal RNA", at positions 355 to 774 of the family's 1533-position model. The record is from RNAcentral.